RNAcentral lists this ribosomal RNA (429 nucleotides) under bacterium. Its description in RNAcentral is "partial 16S ribosomal RNA". It matches the Rfam family "Bacterial small subunit ribosomal RNA", at positions 355 to 776 of the family's 1533-position model. The record is from RNAcentral.
UGGGGAAUUUUGGACAAUGGGCGCAAGCCUGAUCCAGCCCUGCCGCGUGCGGGAAGAAGGCCUUCGGGUUGUAAACCGCUUUUGUCAGGGAAGAAAAGACUCCGGAUAAUACCUGGGGUUCAUGACGGUACCUGAAGAAUAAGCACCGGCUAACUACGUGCCAGCAGCCGCGGUAAUACGUAGGGUGCAAGCGUUAAUCGGAAUUACUGGGUGUAAAGCGUGCGCAGGCGGUUAUGCAAGACAGAUGUGAAAUCCCCGGGGUCAACCGGGGAACUGGAUUUGUGACCGCAUAGGUAGAGUACGGUAGAGGGGGAUGGAAUUCCGCGUGUAGCAGUGAAAUGCGUAGAUAUGCGGGGGGACACCGAUGGCGAAGGGAAUCCCCUGGACCUGUACUGACGCUCAUGCACGAAAGGGUGGGGGGCAAACAGG